GGCCGCAGUAUAUUGACUGUGCUAAGGUAGCAUAAUUAAUUGCCUUAUAAUUGAAGGAUUGUUUGAAUGGUAUCACCAGGUGAGUUUUAAAAUGUGGGUUAUUAUAAGAAAUUGGUUUUUCGGUGCAGAACCCUAUAAGGUUUAAUAAGACGGAAAGACCCCAAGAGCUUUAUAAUGUUUUUGUUUACUUGGGGCAAGGGCAUAUUUUUUAUAUGCUUUUUGAUCCUUCGGGGUUAAAGAUGUAAGUUACCUUGGGGAUAACUAGGUAAGAGGUGAAGAGAGUUCCUAUCGAUUCAUUUAUUUGCCAUCUCGAUGUUGACUUAAGGUGAAUAUGUUGGCGCAGAAGUUUUCAUAUUAGGUCUGUUCGACCUUAUAGCCUUUCAUGAGUUGAGUUAAGACCGGCGUGAGCCAGGUCGGUUCUUAUCUAUUGGUGUCUUGACUUAGUACGAAAGGAUUGGUUAG
This 462-nucleotide ribosomal RNA is filed under the name Plagiorchiidae sp. OS-2014_p. Its description in RNAcentral is "partial large subunit ribosomal RNA". It matches the Rfam family "Bacterial large subunit ribosomal RNA", at positions 1929 to 2699 of the family's 2925-position model. The record is from RNAcentral. Lineage: Eukaryota; Metazoa; Platyhelminthes; Trematoda; Plagiorchiida; Plagiorchiidae.